RNAcentral lists this ribosomal RNA (119 nucleotides) under Rhinopithecus roxellana (golden snub-nosed monkey). The record is from RNAcentral. Lineage: Eukaryota; Metazoa; Chordata; Mammalia; Primates; Cercopithecidae.
AUCUGCAGCCAUACCACCCUGAACGUGCCCGAUCUCAUCUGAUCUCGGAAGCUUAGCAGGGUCAGGCCUCUUUAGUGCUUGGAUGGGAGACCGCCUGGGAAUACCAGGUGCUGUAGUCU